Molecule: ribosomal RNA, 378 nt
Filed under: uncultured bacterium
Lineage: Bacteria
Description: bacterial SSU rRNA
Rfam family: Bacterial small subunit ribosomal RNA
Source: RNAcentral
GACGAACGCUGGCGGCGUGCUUAACACAUGCAAGUCGAGCGGUAAGGCCCUUUCGGGGGUACACGAGCGGCGAAUGGGUGAGUAACACGUGGGUGACCUGCCCUUAGCUCUGGGAUAAGCCUGGGAAACUGGGUCUAAUACCGGAUAUGACUCCAUAACGCAUGUUGUGGGGUGGAAAGCCUUGUGCGGCUAGGGAUGGGCCCGCGGCCUAUCAGCUUGUUGGUGGGGUGANGGCCUACCAAGGCGACGACGGGUAGCCGGCCUGAGAGGGCGACCGGCCACACUGGGACUGAGACACGGCCCAGACUCCUACGGGAGGCAGCAGUGGGGAAUCUUGCGCAAUGGGCGAAAGCCUGACGCAGCGACGCCGCGUGGGGA